UGUGUCUGUGUGUUUGAUUUGUAACAAAACUUUAGAGACAGGUACAAACAGUAAAUUCUCUUUUGCAACCUGGAACUCAUUGUUGAAUACGAAAUUUUGGUGCAUGUAAAAUGGAAUAUG
Small nucleolar RNA from Dipodomys ordii (Ord's kangaroo rat), 120 nucleotides. The record is from Ensembl. NCBI's taxonomy places the organism in Eukaryota, Metazoa, Chordata, Mammalia, Rodentia, Heteromyidae.